AUUGAACGCUGGCGGCAUGCCUUACACAUGCAAGUCGAACGGCAGCACGGGAGCAAUCCUGGUGGCGAGUGGCGAACGGGUGAGUAAUAUAUCGGAACGUGCCCAGUCGUGGGGGAUAACGUAGCGAAAGCUACGCUAAUACCGCAUACGAUCUAUGGAUGAAAGCGGGGGAUCGCAAGACCUCGCGCGAUUGGAGCGGCCGAUAUCAGAUUAGGUAGUUGGUGAGGUAAAGGCUCACCAAGCCGACGAUCUGUAGCUGGUCUGAGAGGACGACCAGCCACACUGGGACUGAGACACGGCCCCAGACUCCUACGGGAGGCAGCAGUGGGGAAUUUUUGGACAAUGGCGGCAAGCCUGAUCCAGCAAUGCCGCGUGCAGGAUGAA
RNAcentral lists this ribosomal RNA (384 nucleotides) under uncultured bacterium. Its description in RNAcentral is "bacterial SSU rRNA". It matches the Rfam family "Bacterial small subunit ribosomal RNA", at positions 30 to 412 of the family's 1533-position model. The record is from RNAcentral.